RNAcentral lists this ribosomal RNA (253 nucleotides) under uncultured bacterium. Its description in RNAcentral is "partial 16S ribosomal RNA". It matches the Rfam family "Bacterial small subunit ribosomal RNA", at positions 524 to 776 of the family's 1533-position model. The record is from RNAcentral.
UACGUAUGGUCCCGAGCGUUGUCCGGAUUUAUUGGGCGUAAAGCGAGCGCAGGUGGUUUAUUAAGUCUGGUGUAAAAGGCAGUGGCUCAACCAUUGUAUGCAUUGGAAACUGGUAGACUUGAGUGCAGGAGAGGAGAGUGGAAUUCCAUGUGUAGCGGUGAAAUGCGUAGAUAUAUGGAGGAACACCGGUGGCGAAAGCGGCUCUCUGGCCCGUAACUGACACUGAGGCUCGAAAGCGUGGGGAGCAAACAGG